RNAcentral lists this ribosomal RNA (468 nucleotides) under uncultured bacterium. Its description in RNAcentral is "partial 16S ribosomal RNA". It matches the Rfam family "Bacterial small subunit ribosomal RNA", at positions 28 to 507 of the family's 1533-position model. The record is from RNAcentral.
GACGAACGCUGGCGGCGUGCUUAAUACAUGCAAGUCGAACGGACAGGCCCUGCGUUUGUGGGGUGCUCGAUUGGCGAACGGGUGAGUAACACGUGAGUAACCUGUCCCUGUCUUUGGGAUAACUUCAGGAAACUGCGGCUAAUACCGGAUAGGAUCUCCUGCUCCAUGUUGUGGGUUGGUAAGUUUCGGCGGUUGGGUAUGGAUUCGCGGCUUAUCCGCUUGUUUGUGGGGUAGUGGUUUACCAAGGGUUUGACGGGUAGCCGGCCUGAGAGGGUGACCGGCGACAUUACGCCUGAGAUAGGGACCAGAAGCGUACCGGCGGCAACAGUGGAGAGUCUUGCACAAUAGGGCGAAGCGUGUUGCAGCAACGCCGCGUGCGGGAUGACGGGUUUCUGGUUGUGAACCGAUGUCGAAUGAGACGAAGAGUUAGUGACGGUAAUUGGUAAGGAAGCAACGGCUAACUACGUG